UAAACCCUGCUGUGUUUGUGAUGCAGCGACACGUUUUGAGCCAACAUUUACACUAACGGGGAUCGAUCUCCUCUUUAAGAGGGACUGGAACGGUCGCAAGGCCGGGCCGACACCUCUGGGUAGAUUCCCACCUGCGCAAGCAGGUUCAAAACCCUCUUGCACACGGCACAGCGGGGCGCUA
Molecule: non-coding RNA, 181 nt
Filed under: Chloroflexota bacterium
Lineage: Bacteria; Bacillati; Chloroflexota
Description: Chloroflexi bacterium (anaerobic digester metagenome) 6S RNA
Rfam family: 6S / SsrS RNA
About the family: E. coli 6S RNA was the first non coding RNA to be sequenced, but its function was unknown until recently. It consists of 184 nucleotides that fold into an extended hairpin structure with a large single-stranded internal bulge.
Source: RNAcentral